Molecule: ribosomal RNA, 2280 nt
Filed under: human metagenome
Description: bacterial LSU rRNA
Rfam family: Bacterial large subunit ribosomal RNA
Source: RNAcentral
AGGGCAGACGGUGGAUGCCUUGGCUCUCGGAGGCGACGAAGGACGUGAUAAGCUGCGAUAAGCUACGGGGAUCGGCACAUACGAUUUGAUCCGUAGAUUUCCGAAUGGGGCAACCCGGCAUGUAGAAGACAUGUCACACUGCAGAGCAGUGAGCGAACGUGGGGAACUGAAACAUCUAAGUACCCAUAGGAGAAGAAAACAAAAGUGAUUCCCUUAGUAGUGGCGAGCGAACGGGGAACAGCCCAAACCAGAUUUGUUUCGGCAAAACUGGGGUUGUAGGACCUCGACAUAGGAAGACAAGAUUAGGAGAACGGUCUGGAAAGGCCGGCCAUAGAACAUGACAGCUGUGUAUCCGAAAAUCUUCGUUGGACUUAGAGGUAUCCUGAGUAGCGCGGGACACGUGAAAUCCUGUGUGAAUCUGCGGGGCCCAUCCCGUAAGGCUAAAUACUCCCGAGAGACCGAUAGUGAACCAGUACCGUGAGGGAAAGGUGAAAAGAACCUCGAACAGAGGAGUGCAAUAGAUCCUGAACCCGUCUGCCUACAAGCGGUAGGAGCAGCUUCGAGCUGUGACUGCGUGCCUUUUGCAUAAUGAACCUACGAGUUACUUUCUCUGGCAAGGUUAAGUGAUGAAGAGUCACGUGAGCCGAAGCGAAAGCGAGUCUGAAUAGGGCGAAUUAGUCAGAGGGAGUAGACGCGAAACCAAGUGAUCUACCCUUGGUCAGGUUGAAGGUUGGGUAAAACCAACUGGAGGACCGCACCGGUAAGCGUUGAAAAGCUUUCGGAUGAACUGAGGGUAGGGGUGAAAGGCUAAUCAAACUUGGAGAUAGCUCGUACUCCCCGAAAUGCAUUUAGGUGCAGCCUCGGGUAAGGUACUGAUGAGAGGUAGAGCGACUGAUUGGAUGCGAGGGCUUCACCGCCUAUCAAGUCCGGCCAAACUCCGAAUGCUCAUCAGCAACAUCCCGGGAGUGAGGGCAUGGGUGCUAAGGUCCAUGUCCGAGAGGAGAAGAAUCCAGAUCACCGGCUAAGGUCCCCAAAUAGCAGCUAAGUUGCAUUAACGAAGUCCGACCGCAGCGACAGCCAGGAUGUUGGCUUGGAAGCAGCCAUUCAUUUAAAGAGUGCGUAACAGCUCACUGGUCGAGGGGUCGGGCAUGGAUAAUAAUCGGGCAUAAGCUGUUUACCGAAGCCGUGAGAUCAAAAAGAUCGGUAGGGGAGCAUUCCAUUAUCAGCGUUGAAGAUGAGAGGUGACUCUUGUUGGAGCGGAUGGAAAAGCAAAUGCAGGUAUAAGUAACGAUAAAGGGGGUGAAAAACCUCCUCGCCGAAAGACCAAGGGUUCCUGAUCAACGCUAAUCGGAUCAGGGUUAGUCGGGACCUAAGGCUAAGCCGAAGGGCGAUGCCGAUGGAAGAACCGGUUAAUAUUCCGGUACUGCUUUGUGGAGUGAUGUGGAGACGGAGAAGUGACAGCUCGGCCAUCUGACGGAAUAGGUGGUUGAAGGGUGUAGACGUUGAUUGUUGUAGGCAAAUCCGCAACAAGAGUUGAACCUGACAGUAUGCAGCGUACUUGUACAAUGUAAUAAGAGCGUAAUCAGGCUCCCAAGAAAACCCGCUAAACAUAUCUUCAAAGCACCCGUACUCGAAACGGACACACGUGGUCGGGUUGAAAAUACUAAGGCGCUCGAGUGAUUCACGGUUAAGGAACUAGGCAAAAUGGUCCUGUAACUUCGGGAUAAAGGACGCCAAUAGCAAUAUUGGUCGCAGAGAAUAGGCCCAGGCGACUGUUUAACAAAAACACAUGACUAUGCGAAAUCGAAAGAUGAGGUAUAUGGUCUGACACCUGCCCGGUGCUGGAAGGUUAAGAGGAGAUGUCAUCCUGUAAGGGAGAAGCAUUGAAUUGAAGCCCCAGUAAACGGCGGCCGUAACUAUAACGGUCCUAAGGUAGCGAAAUUCCUUGUCGGGUAAGUUCCGACCUGCACGAAUGGUGUAACGAUCUGGGCACUGUCUCAACUGUGAGCUCGGUGAAAUUGUAGUAUCGGUGAAGAUGCCGAUUACCCGCGAUGGGACGAAAAGACCCCGUGAACCUUUACUAUAGCUUUACAUUGAAAUUGGGCAUGCGAUGUGUAGGAUAGGCCGGAGGCUAAGAAGCGGUGACGCCAGUCAUCGUGGAGCCGCUGUUGAAAUACGGCCCUUUGUGUGUUUGGUUUCUAACUCCCGGGAAAGGGAGGACGGUGUAUGGUGGGUAGUUUGACUGGGGUGGUCGCCUCCAAAAGCGUAACGGAGGCUUCU